RNAcentral lists this ribosomal RNA (178 nucleotides) under Aspergillus niger. Its description in RNAcentral is "partial 18S ribosomal RNA". The stretch from base 122 to 178 matches the Rfam family "Eukaryotic large subunit ribosomal RNA", at positions 1 to 57 of the family's 3401-position model. Lineage: Eukaryota; Fungi; Ascomycota; Eurotiomycetes; Eurotiales; Aspergillaceae. The record is from RNAcentral.
GGGGACGGGCCCGAAAGGCAGCGGCGGCACCGCGUCCGAUCCUCGAGCGUAUGGGGCUUUGUCACAUGCUCUGUAGGAUUGGCCGGCGCCUGCCGACGUUUUCCAACCAUUUUUUCCAGGUUGACCUCGGAUCAGGUAGGGAUACCCGCUGAACUUAAGCAUAUCAAUAAGCGGAGGA